GAUGAACGCUGGCGGCGUGCCUAAUACAUGCAAGUCGAGCGAACGGACGAGAAGCUUGCUUUUCUGAUGUUAGCGGCGGACGGGUGAGUAACACGUGGAUAACCUACCUAUAAGACUGGGAUAACUUCGGGAAACCGGAGCUAAUACCGGAUAAUAUUUUGAACCGCAUGGUUCAAAAGUGAAAGACGGUCUUGCUGUCACUUAUAGAUGGAUCCGCGCUGCAUUAGCUAGUUGGUAAGGUAACGUCUUACCAAGGCAACGAUGCAUAGCCGACCUGAGAGGGUGAUCGGCCACACUGGAACUGAGACACGGUCCAGACACCUACGGGAGGCAGCAGUAGGGAAUCUUCCGCAAUGGGCGAAAGCAUGACGGAGGAACGCCGCGUGAGUGAUGAAGGUCUUCGGAUCGUAAAACUCUGUUAUUAGGGAAGAACAUAUGUGUAAGUAACUGUGCACAUCUUGACGGUACCUAAUCAGAAAGCCACGGCUAACUACGUG
RNAcentral lists this ribosomal RNA (497 nucleotides) under uncultured bacterium. RNAcentral describes it as "partial 16S ribosomal RNA". It matches the Rfam family "Bacterial small subunit ribosomal RNA", at positions 28 to 507 of the family's 1533-position model. The record is from RNAcentral.